RNAcentral lists this ribosomal RNA (253 nucleotides) under uncultured bacterium. RNAcentral's name for it is "partial 16S ribosomal RNA". It matches the Rfam family "Bacterial small subunit ribosomal RNA", at positions 524 to 776 of the family's 1533-position model. The record is from RNAcentral.
UACGUAGGUGGCAAGCGUUGUCCGGAUUUACUGGGCGUAAAGAGCGCGCAGGCGGUCGGAUAAGUCGAAUGUGAAAGCCCCCGGCUCAACUGGGGAGGGUCAUUCGAUACUGUUCGACUCGAAGGCAGGAGAGGGAAGUGGAAUUCCCGGUGUAGUGGUGAAAUGCGUAGAUAUCGGGAGGAACACCAGUGGCGAAGGCGACUUCCUGGCCUGUUCUUGACGCUGAGGUGCGAAAGCGUGGGGAGCAAACAGG